Molecule: ribosomal RNA, 328 nt
Filed under: uncultured eukaryote
Lineage: Eukaryota
Description: partial 18S ribosomal RNA
Rfam family: Eukaryotic small subunit ribosomal RNA
Source: RNAcentral
CCCUUAGAUGUUCUGGGCCGCACGCGCGCUACACUGAUGCAUUCAACGAGUUUCUUCCUGGUCCGAGAGGAAUGGGUAACCUUUUGAAAGUGCAUCGUGAUAGGGAUAGACUAUUGCAAUUAUUGGUCUUCAACGAGGAAUUCCUAGUAGACGUAGUUCAUCAGACUGCAUCGAUUACGUCCCUGCCCUUUGUACACACCGCCCGUCGCUCCUACCGAUUGAAUGGUCCGGUGAAAUCUUCGGAUUGAGACUUUGUUUUCUUCACGGAAAACGCUGUUUUAAAAAGUUGAUUAAACCUUACCAUUUAGAGGAAGGUGAAGUCGUAACA